GAUGAAGAACGUAGCGAAAUGCGAUAAGUAAUGUGAAUUGCAGAAUUCAGUGAAUCAUCGAAUCUUUGAACGCACAUUGCGCCCCCUGGUAUUCCGGGGGGCAUGCCUGUCCGAGCGUCAUUACUGCCCUCAAGCGCGGCUUGUGUGUUGGGCCUUCGCCCCCCCCGGGGGCGUGCCCGAAAGGCAGUGGCGGCGCCGUGCCCGGUCCUCGAGCGUAUGGGGCUUUGUCACCCGCUCUGGAGGCCCGGCCGGCCGCCGCCGACCCGCCCAGACCUUUAACCGGUUGACCUCGGAUCAGGCAGGGAUACCCGCUGAACUUAAGCAUAUCAAUAAGCGGAGGA
Molecule: unclassified non-coding RNA, 341 nt
Filed under: soil metagenome
Description: partial contains 5.8S ribosomal RNA, internal transcribed spacer 2, and large subunit ribosomal RNA
Rfam family: 5.8S ribosomal RNA (bases 1-120)
Source: RNAcentral